This 65-nucleotide transfer RNA is filed under the name human gut metagenome. It matches the Rfam family "tRNA", at positions 8 to 63 of the family's 71-position model. Rfam says of the family: Transfer RNA (tRNA) molecules are approximately 80 nucleotides in length. Their secondary structure includes four short double-helical elements and three loops (D, anti-codon, and T loops). The record is from RNAcentral.
CCUGUAGCUCAAUUGGAUAGAGCGUCUGACUACGGAUCAGAAGGCUGGGGGUUCAAGUCCUCUUG